ACACCCAGCAGGAGCUCCACGUGGUGACCAGGAUCAACCCAAAAAACAACACCUCCUCAUUCACCAGCAGAGCCGGACGGGGGUGAGCGGGCUCUAUAUAUAACUGCAGCGAGGGUGCUUUGGUGUGGCUGCUCAUCUCGCUGCCCUAUAACUGACUCCAACUCUGCAGACCACAAAGGCACCAUCACUCUUUCCCCUCGUCCCUCCCACAGGCUGGGCAGUAAAACAGGAGCAGGCUCAUGGGAGACCAUUAACCACCAGAAACACGACAUUAAAGCUCUGCUGCAGAGCAAAUGACUGCAGACUCUUUUGCACAACCACUGAAACUAAGUAUGCCGGACCAGCAUGGUUCCACACAGACAUUGGUAUAAGUUCCACCAAUGUCUGUGUGAUUUCAAGUGUGAUUUACAACCGCACUGAUUAGAAACAACCUUUUAUGAGGACCUGUGGCACACAUAGUGCAGUAUUCGUAGCCAGGUGUUCAUGUGUGUGAAUUCUGGCUGGAUGGUGAAAAUUGCUCAGCCCUCACCCGGGUCAGGACAGCUGCGCUGAGGACCGAACCAAACCUUCCUCCUCGUGUCCCUUCCUCCACCACACACAGAGAUGCAGGGACAGGAUUUUGUACUCUGUGCCAGGCUUCAGCUCGGUGCCGAUCCUGCGUGUGCUUACCACUGGAUUUACAUGAGAGGGAAGUCUCAGCUGUAGUCCUGAACCAGACAUGUAAACCCCAACAAAAAUACCCGGGUCACAACUGCCACUAAAAGCCAGGUGGUUCUGUCUCACGAUGAAACAAAGGCAGGGGUGUUCUCAUAACUUGAAUGAACAGUGU
Long non-coding RNA from Gasterosteus aculeatus aculeatus (three-spined stickleback), 829 nucleotides. Lineage: Eukaryota; Metazoa; Chordata; Actinopteri; Perciformes; Gasterosteidae. The record is from Ensembl.